UGCUGUAGGCUGCUAUACAGUAGUCAGUAACAACAGUACAACACGCUAUAUUAUAAUUUUAGCGAUGGUACGUAUACUUACUACUUAGCAUAAUAUCAUAAUAUAUUUGAAUGUAUAUUACGUGAUAUAAUCUAUAGCCGAGCACAAACAUCACAAUAUUGUCUACUAUAUAUAAUAUAUAUGUAUAAACACUAUAAACGUAUACACUCAUAUACGAUAUAUAGGCAUAUUAUAGCUGCGGUAUUAUACAUUCGUAUAUCCAUGUAUUAGCGUCGCAGUCAUCAUGCAGUGUUCAAAAACUAUUAUGUGGUGUUUCGUGUUUAUAGCUGUUCUGUUCGUUCUAACAUUUGUGAUUUGUUUAAAAUAUUCCGACCAUUUUGAAUUCUCCAUUUAACCCUUUUUAAUGUUGAAAACGUGUAUAAAUUUGACGAAAAAACCAAAAUAUUUUUCUCGGCCGAACGUACCGAUGCGUCAUGUAUAAUUGAUAUUAUAACUGCGUCCAGUAUAAUUAAAUAUAAUUAUACUAAACAAUGUCUAAAAUAUUUAUCCACCAAAUAUCGUACGCAAACGGAUUGAUGAUGGAAAUUUCAUUUUAAGAAUAGCAUAUUCUUGCAUGAUCACGGAUAAUGAAAAAAAAACUAUGAUGUGCAGUCAGUAUAACAUUAUACAUCACCAUUGCACGAUGGUCAUCAUCACCUGCGACCGAAUUGAAAAACUGCAAGAACUGAUGCCGUAUUUAUAAUAUAUUAUAAUACGACUAGAGCAUUAUAUAAACCAUGAAAAGGAUAUAAUUAUCUUAGUUUGUGAUACAAAUAUAUAGUAUUACUAAUAUAAUAUAAUAUGACUUUGAUAGACAUACAUAUAUGGUUUCGUCGAUGACGUGAUGUGAUCGAAGGUGAUGUACCUAGCUAUAAACUUGCGGAACAACGUGGUCCGACUGGUCCGUGGAUCCGUAUCCAACAUUUAUGCAUCGCCAAAUUUGAUCACGAUAUAGCCGAUUAGCCGAACAACCAUCAAUAAUAUAAUAAGAAUGGAUGAUUUAAUAUUUUUGAUUGAUCUUAAACAAACUCAGAGGUUUUCAACUUUUAAUAUAUUAUUAUAUACAAUAUCAUUGAUGUAGAUAUACCGAACAAUUUUAGCAAUUAUUAUAUUAUACUGUCUAAACACUCUAAACUAUAAUAUUUACAUAUUUUAAUGUUUAUAAAUACAUUUUUAUUUCAUGUAUUUCAUAUUAAAUUUGUUAUUUUGUUACAUUUUUCAAAAUAUAUAAUUAUGCGUAGAUUAUUA
Rhopalosiphum padi (bird cherry-oat aphid) is the source of this 1287-nucleotide long non-coding RNA. RefSeq lists it as uncharacterized. NCBI's taxonomy places the organism in Eukaryota, Metazoa, Arthropoda, Insecta, Hemiptera, Aphididae. The transcript has 4 exons. The record is from RefSeq and is a predicted model, not a curated record.